CGGGCGGUUCGCCGCCCACGACUCGGCGAGAAGUCCAUUGAACCUUAUCAUUUAGAGGAAGGAGAAGUCGUAACAAGGUUUCCGUAGGUGAACCUGCGGAAGGAUCAUUG
RNAcentral lists this ribosomal RNA (110 nucleotides) under Chondroscaphe amabilis. RNAcentral's name for it is "partial 18S ribosomal RNA". It matches the Rfam family "Eukaryotic small subunit ribosomal RNA", at positions 1707 to 1831 of the family's 1831-position model. The record is from RNAcentral. RNAcentral also lists the same sequence under 6 other names. Lineage: Eukaryota; Viridiplantae; Streptophyta; Magnoliopsida; Asparagales; Orchidaceae.